Molecule: ribosomal RNA, 460 nt
Filed under: uncultured bacterium
Lineage: Bacteria
Description: partial 16S ribosomal RNA
Rfam family: Bacterial small subunit ribosomal RNA
Source: RNAcentral
CCUACUGGAGGCAGCAGUGAGGAAUAUUGGUCAAUGGACGGAAGUCUGAACCAGCCAUGCCGCGUGCAGGAAGACGGCUCUAUGAGUUGUAAACUUCUUUUGUACAAGAGUAAACCUGAAUACGUGUACUCAGCUGAAAGUACUGUAUGAAUAAGGAUCGGCUAACUCCGUGCCAGCAGCCGCGGUAAUACGGAGGAUCCAAGCGUUAUCCGGAUUUAUUGGGUUUAAAGGGUGCGUAGGCGGAUUGAUAAGUUAGUGGUGAAAUGUUGGGGCUUAACUGGAGAACUGCAUCUGAUACUGUUGGUCUUGAGAGUAGAUGAGGUAGGCGGAAUGCAUGGUGUAGCGGUGAAAUGCUUAGAGAUCACGAAGAACACCGAUUGCGAAGGCAGCUUACCAGUCUAUAUCUGACGUUGAGGCACGAAAGCGUGGGUAGCAAACAGGAUUAGAUACCCCUGUAGUC